Long non-coding RNA from Dermochelys coriacea (leatherback sea turtle), 1368 nucleotides. RefSeq lists it as uncharacterized. Lineage: Eukaryota; Metazoa; Chordata; Testudines; Dermochelyidae. The record is from RefSeq and is a predicted model, not a curated record. The transcript has 2 exons.
UGGCCAAUGUACAUGGCAGAGGGGCAUUUGCUGGUAAAAUUAUGAUUGAUUUAUGUGAAAAUCAGAGACUAUUUUUGGUAAAAACUUAGGAUGAAUGGGAAAAAUCACUUUAUCCUUAUGAAACACUGAAUGGUGGAUCAGCCAUUAAUACAUGCCAAGUCACUUAUGCAUUUCACUGCAGUGACUGUAUUGAAAACACUGUUUUUAUAGAUAGAUGAGAUGAAGAACAGCUCCCCAAAAGGUCAAAGGGAGGUCUCAAUUUUGCUAGUGCUACAUUCAAAUCCGAGGAGGGCACAGGAGUUCUUAUUUGAGGAUAGAAAUUAUUAGAGUCUUUUAAAAACUUCUUAACCAGAUCAUUAGGAAAAUGGAUUUUACCUUAACAGGUAUAUGAUAUUCUGGUAAGGCUGAGAGAUUAAACUUAAUUGAAGAUAACGAAAGAGGUGUCUUCUUAAGAUACAAUAAAUACUCUAAUAUAUAAUUGGAGCCAUACAAGAAUCCACAUUAUACAAGGAAAUCCAUGAUAAAAACCUUUUCCCUUUAAGAAUAUAGCACAUCCAUGUGAAUUCUUUUCUACAAUACAACAGUACAUUGUGUACUUCGAAAGGUACUUUCUUCUAAAGGUCCCUUCUUUCUAAAGGUCAUGCAGCCCAGAGAAGGGACCUAAGGUGUGGAUGACAGACUUUCCCUCUUUGCUGUGUCAACAAGUCCGGUCUCAGCAGCAGAGGUUCAACUAAUCCUUGUGACACGUAAUCAAAUCCAGAUUCCAUUGCUGUCUGGGCCAUGCUGGUGCUAUUAAAAUCACGCGGCCUUGUCUUAUUGUGUUUAUCACUCUCUGAAUCAGGGGAAAUGCAUACAUUAGAUCCUACACCACCUUGCAGAAUCCAGGAAUCUACAUAUAAUGGGCCCAAUGACAAAGCCUGAGCCCUGGCUAUGAUAAAAGUACCUUUAAUGGAAAUGAUCUCUAAGAUUAAAUGCCACAGUUUGCUACAACACACAGAACAAGUCCCAUACAUGGCUCAUAGAAGCAAGUGGCCAUUUUACCUUCACUGUGCCGUCAGAGGACGCACUGAUAAUAUAGUGACCAUCCUGUGUAAAAGUAGCUUCAUUAACAAAUGAAGAAUGACCACGGAAUUCCUUCAGAGUUUUUCCCGAUUUUAAGCCAUGAAUCCUGUUACAAAAUUUAAAAAAACAUGGUAAAAAAAACAAUAAUUAAUCCAGGUUGUCUGUAGAGAGGUACAAGUCAGUGAUGUAAAAUAAAGGAAGAAUUUAGUUUGCUGUCUGAUGUACAGAGCAAGUAAUAAAACAGGCUAACACAUCUGCAUCUAGAAUAAUACAUUUGUCAUCACAAACCCCUUUCCCCAGAUAUAA